Molecule: ribosomal RNA, 395 nt
Filed under: uncultured bacterium
Lineage: Bacteria
Description: bacterial SSU rRNA
Rfam family: Bacterial small subunit ribosomal RNA
Source: RNAcentral
GACGAACGCUGGCGGCGUGCUUAAUACAUGCAAGUGGAGCGACGAACCAGGCUUCGGCCUGGGGCAGAGCCGCGAACGGGUGAGUAACACGUGGGUAACCUGCCUCGAUGACCGGGACAACCCGGGGAAACCCGGGCUAAUACCGGAUGUGCUGUCCCCACAUCAGUGGAGACAGGAAAGGAAGCUUCGGCCUCCGCAUCGAGAUGGGCCCGCGGCCCAUUAGCUUGUUGGUGUGGUAACGGCUCACCAAGGCUGCGAUGGGUAGCUGGUCUGAGAGGACGAUCAGCCACACUGGGACUGAGACACGGCCCAGACUCCUACGGGAGGCAGCAGUAGGGAAUCUUGCGCAAUGCGCGAAAGCGUGACGCAGCAACGCCGCGUGGGGGAAGAAGGCC